ACGUAGGGAGCAAGCGUUGUCCGGAAUUACUGGGCGUAAAGGGUGCGUAGGUGGUCAUGUAAGUCAGAUGUGAAAGACCCGGGCUUAACCCGGGGGCUGCAUUUGAAACUGUGUGACUUGAGUACAGGAGAGGGAAGUGGAAUUCCUAGUGUAGCGGUGAAAUGCGUAGAUAUUAGGAGGAACACCAGUGGCGAAGGCGACUUUCUGGACUGUAACUGACACUGAGGCACGAAAGCGUGGGGAGCAAACAG
This 251-nucleotide ribosomal RNA is filed under the name uncultured bacterium. RNAcentral describes it as "partial 16S ribosomal RNA". It matches the Rfam family "Bacterial small subunit ribosomal RNA", at positions 525 to 775 of the family's 1533-position model. The record is from RNAcentral.